Molecule: ribosomal RNA, 505 nt
Filed under: uncultured bacterium
Lineage: Bacteria
Description: partial 16S ribosomal RNA
Rfam family: Bacterial small subunit ribosomal RNA
Source: RNAcentral
GACGAACGCUGGCGGCGUGCCUAAUACAUGCAAGUAGAACGCACAGUUUAUACCGUAGCUUGCUACACCAUAGACUGUGAGUUGCGAACGGGUGAGUAACGCGUAGGUAACCUGCCUGGUAGCGGGGGAUAACUAUUGGAAACGAUAGCUAAUACCGCAUAAUAUUGAUUAUUGCAUGAUAAUUGAUUGAAAGAUGCUAUUGCAUCACUACCAGAUGGACCUGCGUUGUAUUAGCUAGUAGGUGAGGUAACGGCUCACCUAGGCGACGAUACAUAGCCGACCUGAGAGGGUGAACGGCCACACUGGGACUGAGACACGGCCCAGACACCUACGGGAGGAAGCAGUAGGGAAUCAUCGGCAAUGGAAGAAAGUAGGACAGAGCAACGCAGAGUGAGUGAAGAAGGAUUUCGGAUCGUAAAGAUCUGUUGUAAGAGAAGAACGGGUGUGAGAGUGGAAAGUUCACACUGUGACGGUAUAUUACCAGAAAGGGACGGCUAACUACGUG